Molecule: unclassified non-coding RNA, 264 nt
Filed under: plant metagenome
Description: partial contains small subunit ribosomal RNA, internal transcribed spacer 1, and 5.8S ribosomal RNA
Source: RNAcentral
UUUCCGUAGGUGAACCUGCGGAAGGAUCAUUAUUGUAUAACAGAGGUGCGAGGGCUGUCGCUGACCCGAAAGGUCGUGCACGCCCGAGUGCCCUCACACACAUCCAUCUCACCCCUAUGUGCACCACCGCGUGGGUCCCCCUUUGGCUUGUUCGGAGGGGGGCUUACGUGUUCACAAAAACUUUGUAUGCAGUGUAGAAUGUAUUUUUUUGUUUUUGCGAUCACGCAAUCAAUACAACUUUCAACAACGGAUCUCUUGGCUCUC